Herpailurus yagouaroundi (jaguarundi) is the source of this 146-nucleotide long non-coding RNA. RefSeq lists it as uncharacterized. NCBI's taxonomy places the organism in Eukaryota, Metazoa, Chordata, Mammalia, Carnivora, Felidae. The transcript has 3 exons. The record is from RefSeq and is a predicted model, not a curated record.
AUUUGGUGAGUAGGGAGACAGGGGAUUAGGUGAGUAGGAGAGCUCUGUAACAGACUAGCAAGAUGAGAAUGAAAGCCUGACAAUUAAGAUGAGGAUAGCAUGGACACAGUGAUGCUACGGCAGAAUCAAAAAUAUUUGAAGGCCAA